RNAcentral lists this long non-coding RNA (8676 nucleotides) under Homo sapiens (human). RNAcentral's name for it is "non-protein coding lnc-NGFR-3:23". The record is from RNAcentral. Lineage: Eukaryota; Metazoa; Chordata; Mammalia; Primates; Hominidae.
AUGCGCAGCCCUCGGGCCGGCCCGGGCGCACCUUUUCUGUCUCCUGCCACAUUGUGAGCGCUCCGCCGCCCAGAUAACCGCCGGCUCCCCGCGCCGCCCCCGCCUUCUCCCACUCCGCCCACUGCCGGGAGCCCAGGGGAUGAUGCAGCAAGAAGACCCACACCAGAUGAGGGCGCCUUGAUAUUGGAUUUCCCAGCCUCCAGAACUGUAAGAAAUAAAUUUCUAUUCUUUUUAAAUUACCCAGUCUGUGGUAUUCUGUUACAGCAACACAAAAUAGACUCCAACAAGCACCCCACUCCCGUGACCCAAAAUCCUGCAGGGAGUAAGAUGACCUGAGUCUGGGACAAGGUUAGGGAAAAGAUUGAAACUUUCUAAGCAAAGGGGUCCAAGAGCUGACUCUGUCCUUGUCCCCUUCCAAAAACAGAUGCUUGACUUUUAUUACAUCUGGUCUCUGGACUCUAGGGAUAAUUUUGGCAACUUUGGGUCAUGUUUUUCAAUAAUGAGUUUUUUUCAGUGAAUAAACACUAAAAACAAUACCAUAUUUCAGCAGGUAGAGAGAAAAUCUUCAGGUAGAACAGGAGGAAAUAAGCAGAAGUAAUAAAAGGAGAGACAGAUUCAAUGUGAGAAAGACCAUGGUAUCCAUAGGAGCUGGUGAGCCUGGGACAUCUCAGUGAGGUCAAUGUCUCGCUUUGCCUUUUUAGACAUUUGAUCCGUUCCCCACCCUCUGCUAGUCAGAGCUAUCCAGCUUAGAAGAGGGGUGUGCAGAAUGAUGGCUAAUGAAUGAGGUGACUUUCCCAGUGUCUGUGACUCUCCACCCACAGGCCAACUCUCUGAAGGAUUCCUAGUAACUAAGUAUGGUUUUUGCAGGGAGGUUAUGUCCCUUAUCUCUUUUUCUUUCUUUCUUUUUUGAUUCUCCUGCCUCAGCCUCCUGAGUAGCUGGGAUUAUAGAUGCGCACCACCACACCCGGCUAAUUUUUGUAUUUUUAGUAGAGACGGGGUUUUGCCAUGUUGGCCAGGCUGGUCUCAAACUCCUGACCUCAGGCAAUCCGCCCGCAUCAGCCUCCCAAAGUGCUAGGGUUACAGGCGUGAGCCAUCGCAUCCGGACUUAUGUCCAUUAUCUCAUCAGAUCUUCCAACAACCCUGCAAGGCAGACAGGAUAGAUAUUAUUCCCAAUGAAGGAAAUUCAGGCCAAGGAAUGUUUAAUGGCUCAGGCAAAGUCACCCAGCUCAGUAAACAACGGAGCCAAAGCAGGCCCCAGGCUCCCUGACUCCCAGCCUGCUGGUCUUUCAGAGGCUUUGACAGGCCUGCUCUGAGAAUCCGCCAUUUAUUGCCAUGUAGUGAAAACAGGUGCCCUUAGCAUGUGAUGGAGAAUAAUUCUAACAUUCAGUUCUACUUCUCUAUCUCCUUUAUUUAAUGUUUUUUUCCUUCUUCUUUCUUUCUUUCUCUCCCCAGAAGCCUGGGACUUGCCUCUGUGAUCUGGUGCUUUGGAGGGCCUUGGGCCUCAGGGCUAGCAAGGUCCCUUUCUGGAGAUUCCAGUUCCUCUGCCCGCCCUCCUUUACCUCUUUCUCCUCACACAUCUGUCUGAGGGAUGGGGAUGAGGGCUGCCAACCAAUGUUACCACUUGACAGACCACAAGAGGGCUGGUUCCAGUGCCUCCCUUGUUCAGCUGCUGACACUGCAGCUUGGCAGUCAUUGAAGGCAAUAUUUAGCUCCUACAUCUGACCUGAUUGGAAGAUCAGGCUUCUGUCGUCCUGGUUUCCUGGCCUUGGAUAGUUCUUCACUAACUUUUAUUCAUUAAGGCAGUGGGCAGAAAGCAGCAGAACCCUGUUUUUUCUUUUUUUGGGGUUUUUGUUGUUGUUGUUGUUGUUGUUUUGUUUUUUUUUGAAACAGGGUCUCCCUCUGUCACCCAUGCUGGAGUGCAGAGGUUCUGUCAUAACUCACUAUAGCCUCGACCUCCUGGGCUCAAGCAAUCUUCCCACCUCAGCCUCCUGAGUAGCUAGGGACCACAGGUGCAUGCCACUAUGCCUAACUAAUUUUUGUAUUUUUUUGUAGAGAUGGGGUUUUGCCAUGUUGCCCAUGCUGGUUUUGAACUCUAGAACUCAAGCAAUCAGCUGGCCUCAGCCUCCCAAAGUACUGAGAUUACAGGUGUGAGCCACUGUGCCUGGCCAGAACCUGUUUUUUGUUUGUUUGUUUUUGUUUUGUUUGUUUGAGGCGGAGUUUUGCUCUUGUUGCCCAGGCUGGAAUGCAAUGGCGCGAUCUCGGCUCACCGCAACCUCUGCCUCCUGGAUUCAAACAAUUCUCCUGCCUCAGCCUCCCAACCAGCUGGGAUUACAGGCAUGCGCCACCACGCCCAGCUAAUUUUGUAUUUUUAGUAGAGAUGGGAUUUCACCAUGUAGGUCAGGCUGGUCUCGAACUCCCAACCUCAGGUGAUCUGCCCGCCUCGGCCUCCCCAAGUGCUGGGAUUACAGACGUGAGCCACCGCGCCCAGCCCAGAACCUGUUUUUUAAUUUAAAAUUCUUAUUUAAAAGUUCUGUACAUUUUGAGAAUUCUUAAAACCUUCACACAUUUAAUUUAAAUAGCAGCAGAGAUAUCUGGUUCCUGGUAAUGUGAACAGGAUGGCUUGAUACAAGCUCCCUGCUCACUGCAUUUCCUCACUUCCUAAAUUCCUAGGGAUGUACCUCCAGUGAAUAAUAGUUUUUACCACCUGUACAUAUACAGGGUCAGCGGCCAUGGCUCCUUGCUCACCCAUUAACUAAGAUCACAUCCUACAUACAGUACCAGACUUAGAGCCAGAGCCCUGGUCAUGGCCUCCUAGGUUCUCACACUUGACUUUUACUCAAUCAUUUCACCAUUUAGGCUUUAUAAAAAGGGGAGACUGGCCGGGCGCGGCGGCUCAUGCCUGUAAUCCCAGCACUUUGAGAGGCUGAGGGAGGUGGAUGACCUGAGGUCAGGAGUUUGAGACCACCCAACAUGGUGAAACCCUGUCUCUACUAAAAAUACAAAAAUUAGCCAGGUAUAGUGGCACAUGCCUGUAGUCCCAGCUACUCUGAGGCAGCUGAGGCAGGAGAAUCGCUUGAACCUGGGAGGCGGAGGUUGCAGUGAGCCGAGAUCAUGCCACUGUACUCCAGCCUGGGUGACACAGUGAAACUCCAUCUCAAAUAAAUAAAUAAAUAAAAUGGGGGAAUUAUAUGACUGUUAGGGUCCUCCAGAUCUGAUACCCAGGACUGUAAUCUAAAGACUUGAUUAUGUUCAUUAAUACAUGGCAAUUUCAUUCCUUUCCUAAGAAUUACUAUCCAAAGAUCAUCCCUAAGCCCUUCCUACAAGAAACUGCCCCUUUUACAGAAUGAAUAAAGUUGUCCUAGAUUCCCGUUUUUUCCUCACUUUUUCUCAUAUCUCUAAGUGACAGUAUCCGGAGACAGCUCAGAAAGCUGGAUUUUUAGCUUUUCGUCAUAGGGCUUGUAUAUGUACAUGCAUGCAUGCACAAAUGUAUGUAUAUGUUCAUUCUUAAAGGGAUAUGGGCCAUGGGCACCUUCACUCUGUGGCCCCCCACCUCCCACCAGCCCUACUUGAAUUUUAGUAAAUAGUAAUUAAAUGCCAGGACCAGGCACAGUGGCUCACACCUGUAACCCCAGCAUUUUUGGAGGCUGAGGUGGGUGGAUCACCUGAGGUCAGGAGUUCGAGACCAGCCUGGCCAACAUGGUGAAACCCUAUCUCUACUAAAAAUACAAAAAUUAGCCGGGUUUGGUGGCACACAACUGUAAUCCCAGCUACUUGGGUGGCUGAGGCAGGAGAAUCACUUGAACCUGAGAGACGGAUGUUGCAGUGAGCCAAGAUCGCACAACUGCACUCCAGCCUAGGCGACAGAGCAAGACUCCAUCUCGAAAGAAAGAGGGAAGGAAGGAAGGGAGGAAGGAAGGAAGGAAGGAAGGAAGGAAGGAAGGAAGGAAAAAGAAGAGAAAAGGAACUCCAUCUCUACUAAAAAUACAAAAAAAUUAGCCAGGCAUGGUGGCGGGCACCUGUAAUCUCAGCUACUUCAGGAGUCUGAGACAGGAGAAUUGCUUGAACCUGGGAGGCCCUUGCAGUGAGCUGAGAUUGUGCCACUGCACUCAGCCUGGGCAACAAGAGUGAAACUCCGCCUCAAUGAUAAAUAAAUAAAUAAAUAAAUAAAUAAAUAAAUAAAUAAAUAAAUGCCAGGAUGCCUAGAAGAACAAAAGAGUAUGUACUAAGAGGCCAGAUAUAUGAGUGCAGCUGUAGUGAUAAGGAGGCCAUUGGGAUAGCCAAUGUCACAUAGGUCUAAAGUUUGGUUUUAGCUAGAGCUUUCUUCUACCCUAAUACUGCCCCCAUGUCCUGACAGCGGGUAUUGCAGCAAAUCCUGGACUGCAGCCAGAAGCUCUGGUCUCUACAUCAGCUUCUCCAUUUGAAACAUCUCAGAAUUUGAAUUUUGACUACUCUGGUGUUAACAUCAAAAUGCAUUUCAUGGGCCGGGCCUGGUGGCUCACGCCUGUAAUGCAGCACUUUGGGAGGCCAAGGCAGGCGGAUCACGAAGUCAGGGGAUCGAGACCAUCCUGGCCAACAUGGUGAAACCCUGUCUCUAUUAAAAAUACAAAAAAUUAGCCGGCGUGGUGGCAGGCACCUGUAGUCCCAGCUAUUCAGGAGGCCUCAGCAGGAGAAUUGCUUGAAGCCAGGAGGUAGAGGUUGCAGUGAGCUGAGAUCGUGCCACUGCACUCCAUCCUGGGCGACAGAGCGAGUUUCCAUCUCAAAAAACCAAAAUCAAACAAACAAAAAAACCCACAAAAAACCAAAAUGCAUUUUAUAGUGUUAAAGAAAACAUAUUUAUGUGGCAAUUUCUACACAUUUUUCUUCUGCAUUACUUCAUUUAAUCCUUCUCUCAAUCCUGAGAGCAAAGGACAGAAAAUGUUGUUCCCACUGUUUUCCACUGUUUGGUUUUGGUUUGUUUCCUUUCUUUUUUUUUCUUUGAGACAGGCUCUUGCUCUGUCACUCAAGCUGGAAUGCAGUGGCAUGAUCAUAGCUCACUGUAGCCUUGACUUCUUGGGCUCAAGUGAUCCCACCUCAGCCUCCCAAGUAGCUGGGACUACAGGCACACACCACCACAUCUGGCUAAUUCUUUUUUAUUUUUAGUAUAGACGAGGUCUCACUAUGUGACCAGGCUGGUCUCCAACUCCUGAGCUGAAGCUAUCCUCCUGCCUCAGCCUCCCAAAGUGCUGGGAGAUCUGGCCCUUGUUUUUUGUUUUUGUUUUUGUUUUUUAUGAGAUGGGUGGCUGUUGCCCAGACUGGAGUCCCGUGACACGAUCACAGCUCACUGCAGCCUCGACCUCCCCAGGCUCAGGUGAUCCUCUCACUUCAGUUUUUUUUGUAUUUUAGUAGAGACAGAGUUUUGCCAUGUUGCCCAGGCUGUUCUCGAAUUCCUGAGCUCAAGGGAUCUGUCUGCCUCAGCCUCCCAAAGUGCUAGGAUUACAGGCAGGAGUGAGCCACUGUGCCUGGCCCCUUGCUGUUUUUUUGUUUUGUUUUGUUUUUGUUUGUUUGUUUUACAGCAAAUAAAAAUGCAGUCUGGAUUUUAAGGGCCACACAGCAGCAAGAACUAAAACCUGGGUCUCCAAGGUCCAAGUCCAGGACUUCUCUAUGACACCCUACUGCAGCCCUUUGCUGGAUACCAUACAAAGCAAAUUGAGCAGAUGUGUUCUCUGCCCUCUGAAAGUUUGGACUCAAAUGGACAGCCACAAUUCUGGCAAACAUAAAAGGACAAAGUGAUUUAGUGUCAACUCACAUACGCAAUAAAUAACUGAGUUAAAUAGAUAAGGAAAGGCAUGUUCACCUGGUCUACUGAUAUUUUUUAAAUUCCAGUUGAGUAGAGAGCAAUGUUAAUAAGACUAAGGUUUUGGGCCAGUCCCAUUUUUGCCUACUUGCUUUGCACCUGGAAAAAUAUUUGUAACUGCAUGCAAACUCUUUCCCCUCCUCGUCUUCAACAAUCUGUAAACUUUCCCUGAGCAGCUACCAAGUGUAACACAAAGUGGGAAUGAAGGACCAUUAAGAAAUCAUCUCUGUGCCAUGCGCGGUGGCUCAAGCCUAUAAUCCCAGCACUUUGGGAGGCCGAGGCGGGUGGAUCACCUGAGCUCGGGAGUUCAAGGCCAGCCUGGCCAAUAUGGUGAAACCCUGUCUCUACUAAAAAUACAAAAAAAAAAAAAAAAAAAAAAUAGCUGGAUAUGAUGGCAUGUACCUGUAGUCCCAGCUACUCAGGAGGCUGAGGCAGAAGAAUCGCUUGAACCCAGGAGGCAGAGGUUGCAGUGAGCUGAGAUUGCUCCAUUGCACUCCAGCCUGAGAAACAAAAGCAAAACUCUAUCCCCACCCCCCCCAAAAAAAAGGAAGGAAAAGAGAAGAAAAAAAGUCAUCUGUGCCCUCGAGCAACAUCUUUAACCAUUCGCCUAAUUCAAACCACUGGGAUGAAAAUGUAUAUCCUGUAUAUACCAUCUCUACUGCUGGGAAAAAAGACACGUCAACUCAAUACCCAUCCUAUUUUUAGACGGCCUGAGAUUCGUCCUUAUCCAUGCAGGGCAGUCGGGUAGGACAAUGAAGAGGUGGACUUCUGAAUUUGAGAGAAAUUGGUCUUAUCCCAGAGAAGUGAGGCCACCACCCACCUGCAAUAGCUUGGCUUCCUGGAUCCCUAAGCAAAGACAGAGUCUUGCUCUGUCACUCGGGCUGGAGUACAGUGACACAAUCACGGUUCACUGCAGCCUGGACCUCCCAGGCUCAAGUGAUCCCCCUGCUGCAGCCUCCUGAGUAGCUGGGACUACAGGCCUGUGCCACCAUGUCCAGAGGGUAGCAGACAAGCAAGAGGGUGGAAUUUGCAGCAUCUCAUCUUGGUGAGACAGUUGGAAGACUUUUCUGCCAAUUAUAGUGGUUAAACACUGACUCAACAUCAAACAACGGCAUGAGGGGUCAGAGCCUUCAUUCGUGGACAAGUUUCAAAAACAUGGGAGCACCACCUGUCAUGAGCAAUUUAGUCAGAACAGAAGAGAAUAGAUCACACCCAACAAGACAGAAAAAGCUGCUUUCUGGAGAGGGCGGGAGCUAAUAUUUCCUAACACGGUGAAAUUGUGAAGUGCUUUUUGCAGCCCUUCAUAAUUUCAUCAUCCAAAGGGUUUGCUUUUGGAAUUCUUAGACACUUAAUUCUGUCCCUGCUUUCCGUGUCACUUCCACGGGACACUGAAUUUGGGAAGAGGGAGACCUCACCAAUGAUGGGAAGAACAGAUUGGGGGCUGGCGCCCUUUUGGGUUUGCCAUGUGAACAUCCUCCUGGAACAGUCUCCAUUCUGUCCCAGCAAGACACACUCUGCUCUGUGAAGAACCCAGGUGGGAAAAAAAAAAAAAUCUAUGAGGCCACAGUGGAAAUGCAGCUCAGCAGGACUCUCAGGUACCCCAAAAUUGUCCCAUCUGACAACUCACCACAUUCUAUUUAUUUAUUUAUUUAUUUAUUUUGAGAUGGAGUCUCACUGUGUCACCCAGGCUGGAGUGUAGUGGCGUGAUCUAGGCUCACCGCAGCCUACGCCUCCCAGAUUCAAGCGAUUCUCCUGCCUCAGCCUCCCAUGUAGCUGAGACUACAGGCAUGCGCCACCACACCCAGCUAAUUUUUGUAUUUUUAGUAGAGAUGGGGUUUCGCCAUGUUGCCCAGGCUGGUCUCAAACUUCUGACCUCAGGUGAUCCACCCCCGCCCCUCAGCCUCCCAAAGUUCUGGGAUUACAGUCAUGAGACACUGCACCUGGCCAACACAUUCUGUUUUCAUCAUUAGUGCCUGUCCUCCCUGCUAGCUCAUGGGCUCCCCCAGAGCAGGCAUGUUUGCCCUAGUCACCAUCAAAACUGUCUUAGUACCUGUCACGGUGCCUGGCACAUAGCAGUUAUUCAGUAAAUGUUUGUUGAAUAAAUCAACUAUAAACAUCAAAAUGAUUCCCUUAAAAAGGUCUUCAUUCUUGUUCAGAUGUAGAGAGUUACAUUACAAACACUUGUGUGCUGGGGAUAGGAAGGGACACUGUUGGGUAAUAAUAAGUGCUUGAAACAUGUGGGAGGGCCCUGGAAAAUAGCCCAAAAAGUUCACAUUGUAUCUGAUAAGCAACAGGGAGCUACUGCAGGUUCUUCAGGUCACCAGUAGGCAAGCAGGUGGUGGCUUUCCAGGCUGAAAAGUGUAUUUGAUCUGGAAGAUAGUAGGAUCACAGACAAACAGUGAGUCUUGGAGUAGCCUGAUCACAGUGGCAAGCUCAAGAGACAAUUUUAUGGCUGAGGGCUGAAUGUUUCAGCUGGGUGGGUGUCAAGAAACCAGCAAGACUCCAGGCAUGGUGGCUCAUGCCUGUAAUCCCAACACUUAGGGAGGCCGAGACAGAGGAUCCCUUAAGCCCAGGAGUUUGAGACCAGCCUGGGCAGUAUAAGGAAGCCCUGUCUCUACAAAAAUAAAAACAUAACAAAAUUAGCCAAGUGUGGUGGCGUGUGCCUGUGCUUCUAGCUCCUUCAGAGGCUGAAGUGGGGAGGAUCACUCGAGCCUGGGAGGUUGAGGCUUCACUGAGCUGUGAUCAUGCUGCUGCACUCCAGCCUGGGCGACAGAGUGAGACCCUGUCUCAAAAAACAAACAAACAAACAAGAAACCCAGCAAGAAUUAAGAAUUCUGGUGAGC